GACGAACGCUGGCGGCGUGCUUAACACAUGCAAGUCGAGCGGAAAGGCCCUGCUUUUGUGGGGUGCUCGAGUGGCGAACGGGUGAGUAACACGUGAGUAACCUGCCCUUGACUUUGGGAUAACUUCAGGAAACUGGGGCUAAUACCGGAUAGGAGCUCCUGCUGCAUGGUGGGGGUUGGAAAGUUUCGGCGGUUGGGGAUGGACUCGCGGCUUAUCAGCUUGUUGGUGGGGUAGUGGCUUACCAAGGCUUUGACGGGUAGCCGGCAUGGGAGGGUGACCGGCCACAUUGGGACUGAGAUACGGCCCAGACUCCUACGGGAGGCAGCAGGGGGGAAUAUUGCACAAUGGGCGGAAGCCUGAUGCAGCAACGCCGCGUGCGGGAUGACGGCCUUCGGGUUGUAAACAGCUUUCGCCUGUGACGAAGCGUGAGUGACGGUAAUGGGUAAAGAAGCACCGGCUAACUACGUG
RNAcentral lists this ribosomal RNA (468 nucleotides) under uncultured bacterium. RNAcentral's name for it is "partial 16S ribosomal RNA". It matches the Rfam family "Bacterial small subunit ribosomal RNA", at positions 28 to 507 of the family's 1533-position model. The record is from RNAcentral.